This 225-nucleotide unclassified non-coding RNA is filed under the name fungal sp. RNAcentral's name for it is "partial internal transcribed spacer region". The stretch from base 1 to 46 matches the Rfam family "Eukaryotic small subunit ribosomal RNA", at positions 1786 to 1831 of the family's 1831-position model. The record is from RNAcentral. Lineage: Eukaryota; Fungi.
AAGUCGUAACAAGGUCUCCGUUGGUGAACCAGCGGAGGGAUCAUUACAGAAGCAUUCUUUGCUCCUAAACACCUGUGAACAUACCUUUUAUUAGUUGCUUCGGCGGAUCUGCCCCUCGGGGGGCGCCCAAGGUCCGCCGGAGGUUUUUAAAACUCUUGUUUUUAGUGGUCUUCAGAACAACCAAAAAAUAAAUCAAAACUUUCAACAACGGAUCUCUUGGCUCUA